RNAcentral lists this ribosomal RNA (774 nucleotides) under uncultured Neocallimastigales. RNAcentral describes it as "partial large subunit ribosomal RNA". It matches the Rfam family "Eukaryotic large subunit ribosomal RNA", at positions 24 to 633 of the family's 3401-position model. The record is from RNAcentral. Lineage: Eukaryota; Fungi; Neocallimastigomycota; Neocallimastigomycetes; Neocallimastigales.
UAUCUCUGUAGAGUCUGCAUAUCAAUAAGCGGAGGAAAAGAAACUAACUAGGAUUCCCUCAGUAACGGCGAGUGAAGCGGGAAGAGCUCAAAUUUGAAAUCUUCAAGGUUCUACCUUGACGAAUUGUAGUUUAAAGAAGUGUUUUCUGUUGGAGUUUUGGUAAAAGUUCUUUGGAAUAGGACAUCAUAGAGGGUGAGAAUCCCGUAUUUGACCAUUUACUUUCAGCUUUGUGAUACACUUUCAAAGAGUCGGAUUGUUUGGGAAUGCAGUCCAAAAUGGGUGGUAAAUUCCAUCUAAAGCUAAAUAUUGGCGAGAGACCGAUAGCGAACAAGUACCGUGAGGGAAAGAUGAAAAGAACUUUGAAAAGAGAGUUAAACAGUACGUGAAAUUGUCAAAAGGGAAGCGUUUGACACCAGUGUUGUUUUCUCGAAAAUCAAUUAAAAAAAGUUGGAUUUUGUAUUGUUAAGACCUUAUCAGCUUACUGUACUCUUUUCUUGCUUUUUUAAUGCACUUUUCGUUUAACAAGUCAACAUCAAUUUCUUUUGUUGUAAAAGAGUCAUUGGAAGGUGGCUUUCACUUCGGUGAAAGUGUUUAUAGCCUUUGGCUUCUGCAAUCGGAGAGAUUGAGGUCUGCAGCGUAGAUCCUUCGGGGCUAGAUACGUAGAUGCUAAGUUAUAGUUUUUUAUAGACAACUUGUUGACUAUAAUUAAUCAUGUAGCUUACUCGUUUGCGCUAUUUUACCUACGCUUAGGAUGUUGACGAUCAGCUGAGCGCG